This 284-nucleotide long non-coding RNA is filed under the name Gossypium raimondii (Peruvian cotton). Its description in RNAcentral is "long non-coding RNA (GRAI_LNC003715)". Lineage: Eukaryota; Viridiplantae; Streptophyta; Magnoliopsida; Malvales; Malvaceae. The record is from RNAcentral.
CUUUCUCUUCCUUUUUUUCUCCUAUUUUUUUUGAUUUUUUAUCCUUAGAGCGCUUUCUUUUCUUUAGGAUUUGAGAACUCUUUGGAUUGCUCCUCAGUUCCUAGCUCAGCCCUAGCAUCAUCAACUACUAUUUGUGUAGGAGAGACCACUUGGAGUAAUCCAGUAUAGACCUCUCUUGCCCAUGAAUUGCAUUACUCAUCACUAGUGACCUCAGUGAUUUUCGUCGGUCUCGCUUUAUCAAUAUUUGCACCCACAGAUCCAGGUGCAGUGACAACCUCUUCAAC